GAUCCUGGCUCAGAUUAACGCUGGCGGCAUCCUUACACAUGCAAGUCGACGGCAGCGCGGGGCAACCCUGCGGCGACGGCGUACGGGUGAGUAAUGCAUCGGAACGUGUCCUCUUGUGGGGGAUAACCAGUCGAAAGACUGGCUAAUACCGCAUGAGAUCGCAAGAUGAAAGCAGGGGACCCGCAAGGGCCUUGCGCGAGAGGAGCGGCCGAUGCCCGAUUAGCUAGUUGGCGGGGUAACGGCCCACCAAGGCGACGAUCGGUAGCUGGUCUGAGAGGACGACCAGCCACACUGGGACUGAGACACGGCCCAGACUCCUACGGGAGGCAGCAGUGGGGAAUUUUGGACAAUGGGGGCAACCCUGAUCCAGCCAUGCCGCGUGUGUGAAGAAGGCCUUCGGGUUGUAAAGCACUUUCGGACGGAACGAAAUCGCGCGAUCUAAUAAGUCGCGUGGAUGACGGUACCGUAAGAAGAAGCAC
RNAcentral lists this ribosomal RNA (479 nucleotides) under uncultured bacterium. RNAcentral's name for it is "bacterial SSU rRNA". It matches the Rfam family "Bacterial small subunit ribosomal RNA", at positions 15 to 493 of the family's 1533-position model. The record is from RNAcentral.